CUCAGCAGCUCCCAGGCUUUAUCUGAGUGUAGUGUUGCACACGUAUGGAAAAUACUGGUUCUGGUACCAGGUGGGACCAGGUGGCCAGCAGUGCACCAGGCCAUCACCGAGUCCUCAGGAGGUGUAUGAUAAAGAGAGCACAGCUGUAAGCGGACGAUUACAAUUCAGGCAGGACUGCCCCAUCCACCCACACCUGAUUCUGGAAGGUCUUUCCUCAGCCUGAGAGAUCCAAAGGACUCAAGACUCACCACAGCAGCUGCCAGUUGUGCUGUCUCUCCCUGGCUGCCACCUCCUGCAGAACACUCCUCACCCUGUUCUGGUAAACCCCUGGGAGAUGAGGAAGACUGGAGGC
Molecule: long non-coding RNA, 352 nt
Filed under: Mus caroli (Ryukyu mouse)
Lineage: Eukaryota; Metazoa; Chordata; Mammalia; Rodentia; Muridae
Description: lncRNA (MGP_CAROLIEiJ_G0003650.1)
Source: RNAcentral